GACGAGUGGCGGACGGGUGAUUAAUGCUUGGGAACUUGCCUUUGCGAGGGGGAUAACAGUUGGAAACGACUGCUAAUACCGCAUAAUGUCUUCGGACCAAACGGGGCUUAGGCUCCGGCGCAAAGAGAGGCCCAAGUGAGAUUAGCUAGUUGGUAAGGUAACGGCUUACCAAGGCGACGAUCUCUAGCUGUUCUGAGAGGAAGAUCAGCCACACUGGGACUGAGACACGGCCCAGACUCCUACGGGAGGCAGCAGUGGGGAAUAUUGCACAAUGGGGGAAACCCUGAUGCAGCCAUGCCGCGUGUGUGAAGAAGGCCUUCGGGUUGUAAAGCACUUUCAGUUGUGAGGAAAAGUUAGUAGUUAAUACCUGCUAGCCGUGACGUUAACAACAGAAGAAGCACCGGCUAACUCCGUGCCAGCAGCCGCGGUAAUACGGAGGGUGCGAGCGUUAAUCGGAAUUACUGGGCGUAAAGCGCACGCAGGCGGUUUGUUAAGCUAGAUGUGAAAGCCCCGGGCUCAACCUGGGAUGGUCAUUUAGAACUGGCAGACUAGAGUCUUGGAGAGGGGAGUGGAAUUCCAGGUGUAGCGGUGAAAUGCGUAGAUAUCUGGAGGAACAUCAGUGGCGAAGGCGACUCCCUGGCCAAAGACUGACGCUCAUGUGCGAAAGUGUGGGUAGCGAACAGGAUUANAUACC
Molecule: ribosomal RNA, 694 nt
Filed under: uncultured bacterium
Lineage: Bacteria
Description: bacterial SSU rRNA
Rfam family: Bacterial small subunit ribosomal RNA
Source: RNAcentral